This 2900-nucleotide ribosomal RNA is filed under the name Escherichia coli. Its description in RNAcentral is "bacterial LSU rRNA". It matches the Rfam family "Bacterial large subunit ribosomal RNA". Lineage: Bacteria; Pseudomonadati; Pseudomonadota; Gammaproteobacteria; Enterobacterales; Enterobacteriaceae. The record is from RNAcentral.
UUAAGCGACUAAGCGUACACGGUGGAUGCCCUGGCAGUCAGAGGCGAUGAAGGACGUGCUAAUCUGCGAUAAGCGUCGGUAAGGUGAUAUGAACCGUUAUAACCGGCGAUUUCCGAAUGGGGAAACCCAGUGUGUUUCGACACACUAUCAUUAACUGAAUCCAUAGGUUAAUGAGGCGAACCGGGGGAACUGAAACAUCUAAGUACCCCGAGGAAAAGAAAUCAACCGAGAUUCCCCCAGUAGCGGCGAGCGAACGGGGAGGAGCCCAGAGCCUGAAUCAGUGUGUGUGUUAGUGGAAGCGUCUGGAAAGGCGCGCGAUACAGGGUGACAGCCCCGUACACAAAAAUGCACAUACUGUGAGCUCGAUGAGUAGGGCGGGACACGUGGUAUCCUGUCUGAAUAUGGGGGGACCAUCCUCCAAGGCUAAAUACUCCUGACUGACCGAUAGUGAACCAGUACCGUGAGGGAAAGGCGAAAAGAACCCCGGCGAGGGGAGUGAAAAAGAACCUGAAACCGUGUACGUACAAGCAGUGGGAGCACGCUUCGGCGUGUGACUGCGUACCUUUUGUAUAAUGGGUCAGCGACUUAUAUUCUGUAGCAAGGUUAACCGAAUAGGGGAGCCGAAGGGAAACCGAGUCUUAACUGGGCGUUAAGUUGCAGGGUAUAGACCCGAAACCCGGUGAUCUAGCCAUGGGCAGGUUGAAGGUUGGGUAACACUAACUGGAGGACCGAACCGACUAAUGUUGAAAAAUUAGCGGAUGACUUGUGGCUGGGGGUGAAAGGCCAAUCAAACCGGGAGAUAGCUGGUUCUCCCCGAAAGCUAUUUAGGUAGCGCCUCGUGAAUUCAUCUCCGGGGGUAGAGCACUGUUUCGGCAAGGGGGUCAUCCCGACUUACCAACCCGAUGCAAACUGCGAAUACCGGAGAAUGUUAUCACGGGAGACACACGGCGGGUGCUAACGUCCGUCGUGAAGAGGGAAACAACCCAGACCGCCAGCUAAGGUCCCAAAGUCAUGGUUAAGUGGGAAACGAUGUGGGAAGGCCCAGACAGCCAGGAUGUUGGCUUAGAAGCAGCCAUCAUUUAAAGAAAGCGUAAUAGCUCACUGGUCGAGUCGGCCUGCGCGGAAGAUGUAACGGGGCUAAACCAUGCACCGAAGCUGCGGCAGCGACACUAUGUGUUGUUGGGUAGGGGAGCGUUCUGUAAGCCUGUGAAGGUGUACUGUGAGGUAUGCUGGAGGUAUCAGAAGUGCGAAUGCUGACAUAAGUAACGAUAAAGCGGGUGAAAAGCCCGCUCGCCGGAAGACCAAGGGUUCCUGUCCAACGUUAAUCGGGGCAGGGUGAGUCGACCCCUAAGGCGAGGCCGAAAGGCGUAGUCGAUGGGAAACAGGUUAAUAUUCCUGUACUUGGUGUUACUGCGAAGGGGGGACGGAGAAGGCUAUGUUGGCCGGGCGACGGUUGUCCCGGUUUAAGCGUGUAGGCUGGUUUUCCAGGCAAAUCCGGAAAAUCAAGGCUGAGGCGUGAUGACGAGGCACUACGGUGCUGAAGCAACAAAUGCCCUGCUUCCAGGAAAAGCCUCUAAGCAUCAGGUAACAUCAAAUCGUACCCCAAACCGACACAGGUGGUCAGGUAGAGAAUACCAAGGCGCUUGAGAGAACUCGGGUGAAGGAACUAGGCAAAAUGGUGCCGUAACUUCGGGAGAAGGCACGCUGAUAUGUAGGUGAAGUCCCUCGCGGAUGGAGCUGAAAUCAGUCGAAGAUACCAGCUGGCUGCAACUGUUUAUUAAAAACACAGCACUGUGCAAACACGAAAGUGGACGUAUACGGUGUGACGCCUGCCCGGUGCCGGAAGGUUAAUUGAUGGGGUCAGCGCAAGCGAAGCUCUUGAUCGAAGCCCCGGUAAACGGCGGCCGUAACUAUAACGGUCCUAAGGUAGCGAAAUUCCUUGUCGGGUAAGUUCCGACCUGCACGAAUGGCGUAAUGAUGGCCAGGCUGUCUCCACCCGAGACUCAGUGAAAUUGAACUCGCUGUGAAGAUGCAGUGUACCCGCGGCAAGACGGAAAGACCCCGUGAACCUUUACUAUAGCUUGACACUGAACAUUGAGCCUUGAUGUGUAGGAUAGGUGGGAGGCUUUGAAGUGUGGACGCCAGUCUGCAUGGAGCCGACCUUGAAAUACCACCCUUUAAUGUUUGAUGUUCUAACGUUGACCCGUGAUCCGGGUUGCGGACAGUGUCUGGUGGGUAGUUUGACUGGGGCGGUCUCCUCCUAAAGAGUAACGGAGGAGCACGAAGGUUGGCUAAUCCUGGUCGGACAUCAGGAGGUUAGUGCAAUGGCAUAAGCCAGCUUGACUGCGAGCGUGACGGCGCGAGCAGGUGCGAAAGCAGGUCAUAGUGAUCCGGUGGUUCUGAAUGGAAGGGCCAUCGCUCAACGGAUAAAAGGUACUCCGGGGAUAACAGGCUGAUACCGCCCAAGAGUUCAUAUCGACGGCGGUGUUUGGCACCUCGAUGUCGGCUCAUCACAUCCUGGGGCUGAAGUAGGUCCCAAGGGUAUGGCUGUUCGCCAUUUAAAGUGGUACGCGAGCUGGGUUUAGAACGUCGUGAGACAGUUCGGUCCCUAUCUGCCGUGGGCGCUGGAGAACUGAGGGGGGCUGCUCCUAGUACGAGAGGACCGGAGUGGACGCAUCACUGGUGUUCGGGUUGUCAUGCCAAUGGCACUGCCCGGUAGCUAAAUGCGGAAGAGAUAAGUGCUGAAAGCAUCUAAGCACGAAACUUGCCCCGAGAUGAGUUCUCCCUGACUCCUUGAGAGUCCUGAAGGAACGUUGAAGACGACGACGUUGAUAGGCCGGGUGUGUAAGCGCAGCGAUGCGUUGAGCUAACCGGUACUAAUGAACCGUGAGGCUUAACCU